CUCAAAGUUGAUUACACCGCACACUCCAAAAUGGAGCUGCACUUUUCCCCUUUAGUGGUGGCAAAGUUGUGGUGGUGGCAGACAACUUUCCUCAAAGUUGUGGUGGUGGAGCCUCCAUGUUUUUGGCUAACAUCUUUCACAUUCAAAUCUUUGGCGAAAUCAAUCUAUUUAAACCUCAAUUCCUCAACCCCAACUCACCUCUUCAUCUGUUCAUUUAACAAAAAUCUGCAGAUUCUCCCUACGAAUCCCAGCUGGUGCGGCGCGACUAGGAUGUGAACUUUAAAUUCUUGCAGUUAAUUUUCAAAGCUCAAAAGUUCAAGUUUCAGUUUCAGGUGAAUGAUAUUGGAGGCGCGUGGAGAGUCGAAUGGGCGCGUCGCAUCUAUUUAAAAAUAAAUGUUUCUUAAAACAUAUUAUGUUAUUUCAUGUGAUAUCUUUUGGUUAUGUAAACUCUGAAAUUCUAUACUAUUUGAGAUUUGUGUGUGAUUUGUCUAAAUAAAUGUUGUUAUAUUAUUUUAAUGUCAUGACUUGUUUAAUUUAUAUUUAAAUUCAUUUCAAAUAUUUAUUUAAGAA
Long non-coding RNA from Salvia miltiorrhiza (redroot sage), 570 nucleotides. RefSeq lists it as uncharacterized. The transcript has 3 exons. The record is from RefSeq and is a predicted model, not a curated record. NCBI's taxonomy places the organism in Eukaryota, Viridiplantae, Streptophyta, Magnoliopsida, Lamiales, Lamiaceae.